This is a long non-coding RNA of Onychostoma macrolepis, 2273 nucleotides long. RefSeq lists it as uncharacterized. The record is from RefSeq and is a predicted model, not a curated record. Lineage: Eukaryota; Metazoa; Chordata; Actinopteri; Cypriniformes; Cyprinidae. The transcript is spliced from 3 exons.
UCAUUGUCUAGCUCAGUUUAGUUUAAAUAUUAUCUGUGCAAUCAAAUCGGCGAUAAUCGCUAGAAAUUAAGUGUACCCAACUGAGCAAGCCAGAGGCGACAGCAGCAAGGAACCAAAACUCCCUCUGUGACAGAAUGGAGAAAAAAAAAAAACCUUGGGAGAAACCAGGCUCAGUCCGGGGGCCAGUUCUCCUCUGACCAGACGAAACCCGCAGUUCAAAAGUAUAUAAGAAAUAUUUCUAUUUUAAUUUUGUUGCAAUUUCUAACAAUAGUAGUAUUAUGUAGUUAGGUAUUUUAUUAUAUUUUAGUUAUUUUGUUAUAUAUAUUUUUAGUUUUAUUUUAUUUGAUCGAGGUUUUCACUGGGGAUAUGUCUCUGGGGCUCAUCUGGGUGUCCUGGUCUCCGCUGACGAUCAGGGCUGUAGACAUCAUCUCUUGGUGCUGAUCCACCAUCUGAUCGGAUACGGACUGAGAAACAGAAUAGGAAAGAAACAGACAAAUAUUAGCGUAGAUGCCAUUCUUCUUACGAUGUAACGAGUACAUUGUGUGUUAUGGGGAGUGUUCCCGGUUCCGGUUGAUCUAAUUAAUGCAGCCUAACAAUCCUUUAACGGAUUUGAAUAAUAGAAGCGUAUUAGUGUGUUAUGUGUAAGCCAGGCUAAAGAGAUGGGUCUUUAAUCUAGAUUUAAACUGACAGAGUGUGUCUGCCUCCCGAACAGUGUUAGGUAGACUGUUCCAGAGUUUGGGUGCUAAAUAGGAAAAGGAUCUGCCGCCCGCAGUCGAUUUUGAUAUUCUAGGUAUUAUCAAACGGCCGGAGUUUUGAGAACGCAUUGGACGUGGAGGACUAUAAUGUGAUAAGAGCUCGCUCAAGUACUGAGGAGCUAAACCAUUCAGGGCUUUAUAAGUAAUUAACAAGAUUUUAAAAUAUAUCCGAUGUUUGAUAGGGAGCCAGUGCAGUGUUGACAGAACCGGGCUAAUAUGGUCAUAUUUCCUGGUUCUAGUAAGGACUCUAGCUGCUGCAUUUUGGACUAACUGUAGUUUGUUGAUCAAGCGUGCAGAACAACCACCCAAAUAAAGCAUUACAAUAGUCUUCCUAAACUAUAUUUUAAAGGUUUAAGAGCUAUAAGUGAUGCAAUACAAAAAACGAUGAGCUGACUAGGCUGUCUAAUAGGCGGAAAUUAGCCUAAUCUGCUCGCAAAUUCACCUUCGUGGCUCACGGGCUUCCUUCUGCACCGAAGCAUUACAGCUAUCGAUUUUUAACAAAACAGGCCUACUCAAAUGUAUCUAACCUAACUAUUUUCACCUCCAUAUUGUCUAAAAAACAGACAGAGUUAUCCAAAGAUAGGCUUACUUAGCGCCAGUAGACAGCCCUUUUUUCUCCCGAGGCUCCCGUAGAGUGAAGAAGAGGUGGAGUUACGAGACUUAUCAGACAGUUGAAGUGUCCAAUGGAGUUAAGAGAUUUGCUCUCAAGCUAUUUUCAACACUUUAGAUUUGUUAAUAAUUUGUAAAAAUAACAGACCCACGUGGGGACUGACCAAUAGCAUCGAUUUGUGAAAAAAUCUGAAAUUGACAAAAUUUGGACAAAGGAGGUUUCUGCCCGACAGCGACGAUAUACAGCACACAGUGUUUCUGUGACUGUCUAAAGUACUUGAAUUCACGAGUUCACACUUGCAUAUAAUAAAUAUAAUAAAGUUUAUGUGUAUUUGGCGUGCUGUCUGAGGGGAGGGCUCCAAGCUCGGAACUUUGGCCCAAACCCAGAGUAUAUAGGUUAGGACAGGAAUAACUGUAAGUGCGGAGAAGGGGUGGUGGAGGGAUGCCAGAAAACUGUCAAAGAACAGAGAUAAGGCUGCUAUGUAUAUAUACACACACCUCUUACCUUGUUAACUGGGUUGAUUACUGAUUGUGCUCCUCUCGUGUUAAUUAGGUUAAUUAUCUGAACGUGCUCCUCCCGAACUUUGUUAAUAAAACAUCAUUAUGAGGCAUGUAAUUGGCUGUUUGGUUGCUAAGCAUCUAGCCAUAAUAUUCUAACACUGCAUCGCUUCACACUGUACAUGUUUGGCACUGCAAUGUGGGGUUAACACCGCUAAAGCAGUGCCAACUCUGUUCUGGAGAAGGCUCUCAUAACCCUGGGUGAGACACCGUGACUACACCUGGGGCCUGUACCAUGAAGCCGGUUUAGCUGGCUAGCCAGGUAGGAGCUGCCACGGAAAAAGCUCUAUCUCCUCUACAUUUCAAGCACCAUCGAGGAACCAUCAGACACAGUUGAUCCUCGGACCAAAG